AAGGGCCAUCGCUCAACGGAUAAAAGCUACCCCGGGGAUAACAGGCUUAUCUCCCCCAAGAGUUCACAUCGACGGGGAGGUUUGGCACCUCGAUGUCGGCUCAUCGCAUCCUGGGGCUGUAGUCGGUCCCAAGGGUUGGGCUGUUCGCCCAUUAAAGCGGUACGCGAGCUGGGUUCAGAACGUCGUGAGACAGUUCGGUCCCUAUCCGUCGUGGGCGUAGGAAAUUUGAGAGGAGCUGUCCUUAGUACGAGAGGACCGGGAUGGACAUACCUCUGGUGUACCAGUUGUCGUGCCAACGGCAUAGCUGGGUAGCUAUGUGUGGACGGGAUAAGUGCUGAAAGCAUCUAAGCAUGAAGCCCCCCUCAAGAUGAGAUUUCCCAACUUCGGUUAUAAGAUCCCUCAAAGAUGAUGAGGUUAAUAGGUUCGAGGUGGAAGCAUGGUGACAUGUGGAGCUGACGAAUACUAAUCGAUCGAAGACU
This 479-nucleotide ribosomal RNA is filed under the name Staphylococcus aureus. Its description in RNAcentral is "partial 23S ribosomal RNA". It matches the Rfam family "Bacterial large subunit ribosomal RNA", at positions 2437 to 2925 of the family's 2925-position model. Lineage: Bacteria; Bacillati; Bacillota; Bacilli; Caryophanales; Staphylococcaceae. The record is from RNAcentral.